RNAcentral lists this ribosomal RNA (207 nucleotides) under uncultured Turicibacter sp. Its description in RNAcentral is "partial 16S ribosomal RNA". It matches the Rfam family "Bacterial small subunit ribosomal RNA", at positions 568 to 774 of the family's 1533-position model. The record is from RNAcentral. Lineage: Bacteria; Bacillati; Bacillota; Erysipelotrichia; Erysipelotrichales; Turicibacteraceae.
CGCGCAGGUGGUUGAUUAGGUCUGAUGUGAAAGCCCACGGCUUAACCGUGGAGGGUCAUUGGAAACUGGUCGACUUGAGUGCAGAAGAGGGAAGUGGAAUUCCAUGUGUAGCGGUGAAAUGCGUAGAGAUAUGGAGGAACACCAGUGGCGAAGGCGGCUUCCCGGUCUGUAACUGACACUGAGGCGCGAAAGCGUGGGGAGCAAACA